GAUCAGUGGCGAACGGGUGAGUAACACGUGAGCAACCUGCCCCUGACUCUGGGAUAAGCGCUGGAAACGGCGUCUAAUACUGGAUAUGAGCUGCGACCGCAUGGUCAGCAGUUGGAAAGAUUUUUCGGUCUGGGAUGGGCUCACGGCCUAUCAGCUUGUUGGUGAGGUAAUGGCUCACCAAGGCGUCGACGGGUAGCCGGCCUGAGAGGGUGACCGGCCACACUGGGACUGAGACACGGCCCAGACUCCUACGGGAGGCAGCAGUGGGGAAUAUUGCACAAUGGGCGGAAGCCUGAUGCAGCAACGCCGCGUGAGGGACGACGGCCUUCGGGUUGUAAACCUCUUUUAGCAGGGAAGAAGCGAAAGUGACGGUACCUGCAGAAAAAGCGCCGGCUAACUACGUGCCAGCAGCCGCGGUAAUACGUAGGGCGCAAGCGUUAUCCGGAAUUAUUGGGCGUAAAGAGCUCGUAGGCGGUUUGUCGCGUCUGCUGUGAAAUCCCGAGGCUCAACCUCGGGUCUGCAGUGGGUACGGGCAGACUAGAGUGCGGUAGGGGAGAUAGAAA
Molecule: ribosomal RNA, 563 nt
Filed under: Microbacterium sp. LL32
Lineage: Bacteria; Bacillati; Actinomycetota; Actinomycetes; Micrococcales; Microbacteriaceae
Description: bacterial SSU rRNA
Rfam family: Bacterial small subunit ribosomal RNA
Source: RNAcentral